Molecule: non-coding RNA, 613 nt
Organism: Xyrichtys novacula (pearly razorfish)
Lineage: Eukaryota; Metazoa; Chordata; Actinopteri; Labriformes; Labridae
Source: the annotation of a GenBank genome assembly
CUUCGGAGGAGUUAGCGAAAUUCCAAUGUGUGCGGAUCGGCAAAAAAUGCGAAAUAGCCCUUUAACGGUACAUUUGACAGAUACGCCCGCACUGACUUUUUUGUAGGUCUUAUUGAGAUACACAUGUGUGUCAAAUUUUGUGUCAUUUUGACAAAGCGUACAGGCGUCAGGUGAAUUUUCACCAUAGGGGGCGCUAUGGAGCCAUUUUUCAUUUUUUUGUUUGGGCGACUUCAGAAUAUCGAAUUUUUCACCAGGCCCGGUUGUCCUGCCAAAUUUCCUGAGUUUUCGCCAGUGGGAAGUGGGCCAUUUUCCAGUUUAAAGCGGAGGAAAAAUAACGAAAGAAGAAUCCAUCAGGAACAAGAGGGCUCUCGCAGCUGCUUAGCAGCUACGCUCGGGCCCUAAUAAUAACAAAAGAAGAAUCCAUCAGGAACAAGAGGGCUCUCGCAGCUGCUUAGCAGCUACGCUCGGGCCCUAAAGAAAGAAGAAUCCAUCAGGAAUAAUAGGGCUCUCGCAGCUGCUUAGCAGCUACGCUCGGGCCCUAAAGAACUAGGGCCCCGUUGGGGCACUGGCGGGCCCGAGCCGUGUCGCAACCCCCCCCCCCCCCCCCCCCAAC